GACGAACGCUGGCGGCGUGCUUAACACAUGCAAGUCGAACGGAAAGGCCCUGCUUUUGUGGGGUGCUCGAGUGGCGAACGGGUGAGUAACACGUGAGUAACCUGCCCUUGACUUUGGGAUAACUUCAGGAAACUGGGGCUAAUACCGGAUAGGAGCUCCUGCUGCAUGGUGGGGGUUGGAAAGUUUCGGCGGUUGGGGAUGGACUCGCGGCUUAUCAGCUUGUUGGUGGGGUAGCGGCUUACCAAGGCUUUGACGGGUAGCCGGCCUGAGAGGGUGACCGGCCACAUUGGGACUGAGAUACGGCCCAGACUCCUACGGGAGGCAGCAGUGGGGAAUAUUGCACAAUGGGCGGAAGCCUGAUGCAGCAACGCCGCGUGCGGGAUGACGGCCUUCGGGUUGUAACCGCUUUCGCCUGUGACGAAGCGUGAGUGACGGUAAUGGGUAAAGAAGCACCGGCUAACUACGUG
This 467-nucleotide ribosomal RNA is filed under the name uncultured bacterium. Its description in RNAcentral is "partial 16S ribosomal RNA". It matches the Rfam family "Bacterial small subunit ribosomal RNA", at positions 28 to 507 of the family's 1533-position model. The record is from RNAcentral.